GACGAACCGUGCGAACGUUGUUCGGAAUCACUGGGCUUAAAGGGCGCGUAGGCGGCUUACCAAGUCCGGGGUGAAAGCUUUCGGCUCAACCGGAAAAGUGCCUUGGAUACUGGUAGGCUUGAGGGAGGUAGGGGCAUGCGGAACUUCCGGUGGAGCGGUGAAAUGCGUUGAUAUCGGAAGGAACGCCGGUGGCGAAAGCGGCGUGCUGGACCUCUUCUGACGCUGAGGCGCGAAAGCUAGGGGAGCGAACGGG
This 253-nucleotide ribosomal RNA is filed under the name uncultured bacterium. RNAcentral's name for it is "partial 16S ribosomal RNA". It matches the Rfam family "Bacterial small subunit ribosomal RNA", at positions 524 to 776 of the family's 1533-position model. The record is from RNAcentral.